Molecule: microRNA, 21 nt
Filed under: Cordylochernes scorpioides
Lineage: Eukaryota; Metazoa; Arthropoda; Arachnida; Pseudoscorpiones; Chernetidae
Source: RNAcentral
GUGAGAUUCAACUUUUCUAGC